GACGAACGCUGGCGGCGUGCUUAACACAUGCAAGUCGAACGAUGAACCCGGAGCUUGCUCUGGGGGAUUAGUGGCGAACGGGUGAGUAACACGUGAGUAACCUGCCCUGGACUCUGGGAUAAGCGUUGGAAACGACGUCUAAUACCGGGUAGGACCUUGGAUCGCAUGAUCUGGGGUGGAAAGUUUUUUCGGUCUGGGAUGGACUCGCGGCCUAUCAGCUUGUUGGUGAGGUAAUGGCUCACCAAGGCGUCGACGGGUAGCCGGCCUGAGAGGGUGACCGGCCACACUGGGACUGAGACACGGCCCAGACUCCUACGGGAGGCAGCAGUGGGGAAUAUUGCACAAUGGGCGAAAGCCUGAUGCAGCAACGCCGCGUGCGGGAUGACGGCCUUCGGGUUGUAAACCGCUUUUAGUAGGGAAGAAGGGCUUCGGCUUGACGGUACCUGCAGAAAAAGAACCGGCUAACUACGUG
This 472-nucleotide ribosomal RNA is filed under the name uncultured bacterium. Its description in RNAcentral is "partial 16S ribosomal RNA". It matches the Rfam family "Bacterial small subunit ribosomal RNA", at positions 28 to 507 of the family's 1533-position model. The record is from RNAcentral.